Molecule: long non-coding RNA, 9686 nt
Organism: Anolis carolinensis (green anole)
Lineage: Eukaryota; Metazoa; Chordata; Lepidosauria; Squamata; Anolidae
Exons: 3
Source: RefSeq, a predicted model, not a curated record
GGGAAAAUGAGGAGGGCCUGAGGUAAGUGCCCAGGGGGCUGCAUCUGGCCCCUGGGUCUUAGUUUGCCCAUGCCUGAUCUAGAUGAUAACACUUAGAUGGCUGAAAGCGAGGAGCAGCUGAGGAGCCUUAUAAACAAGGUGAAAGAAGAAAGUAUGAAAGCUGGGUUGCAGUUAAACAUAAAAAAACAAGAUUAUGGCGACCAGACUGAUUGAUAAUUGGCAAAUAGAGGGAGAAAACAUGAGGCAGUGACAGACUUUGUAUUUUUAGGCACAAAGAUUACUGUAGACGCAGACUACAGCCAGGAAGACGUUUACUUCUUGGGAGGAGAGCAAUGACCAAUCUCAACAAAAUAAUGCAUAGAGACAUCACACUGGCAAUGAAGGACCACAUAGUUAAAGCAAUGGUAUUCCCCGUAGGAACCUAUGGAUGCCAGAGCUGGACCAUAAGGAAGGCUGAGUAAAGGAAGAUAGAUGCUUUUGAACUGUGGUGUUGGAGGAAAAUUCCGAGAGUGCCUUGGACCGCAAAAAGAUCCAACCAGUCCAUACUCCAGGAAGUUAUGCCUGACUGCCCACUGGAGUGAAGGAUAUUAGUGGCAAAGAUGGAGUACUUUGGCCACAUAAUGAGAAGGCAGGAAAGCUUGGAAAAUAUAAUGAUGUUGGGGGAAAUGGAAGGAAAAAGGAAGGUGGACUGACCAAGGGCAAGAUGGGUGGAUGUUAUCCUUGAAGUGACUGGCUCGACCUUGAAGGAGCUGGGGGGUGGCGAUGGCCGACAGGAAGCUCUGGCAUGGACUGGUCCAUGAGGUCACAAAGAGUUGGAAGCAAUUGAAUGAAUAAACAACAACAAUCUGCAGGGUAGAGCCAGCUUAAGAGAUUUUUUUAUGUAGGCAUAUGAUUCUGAGGACAACCGUGUACUGGCAGAUUUCCCUUUUAUCUUGAUAAUUUAUAUUCUCUAAAGAAGUAGUAGAAAGACCUAUAACUGCCUAACACUACAGGUGGGAGAGAUAGUGGUCUGGCCCAAGACAGUUUAAUGCUGGGGCAGAAAAUGGUGCCGUAUUUUCAAGUCAAAAUGCAUAGUAAUUAAAGCCAACUGGGUAAUUUUGGCAGUUCAUUUAGAAUUCCCAUAAGCAUAUCUUCCCAUUUCUACUCCUAAAGUAGAAAUGCAAUAAAUUAAUAACUAGAAAAUUGCUCUUUUAAUCACACACACACACACACACACACACACUGGUGCUGGUUGAACAACUGCAUCUUCCUAACUAAUAUUAGAGAUAGUCUUAGGGAAAUAUGUUUUUGAUGUUAAAAACAAGCAAUUUCCUAUAAAUUGAAAAAGAAGAUGUCAAGUUCUAGUCCAGUACCUUCCCCACUUCUUUUUCCACAUAAAGGAAGUACAGUUUCAAACAAUUCCUGAGUUCUAAAGUAAAUCAGGUUGAUUUGGGCCCAUUUAGGUCAAGCUCGAGGUUGUCUGAUCAGCCUAUUUUAGAUUCAGAAUCAAUUGAUCCUAUUAUCUACAAGGGCUAUCCACAAAGUAGGUUACGUUUUGGAAUUAAAAAUGAACAAAGUAUAGGAGAAAAUUCUGCCGCUUGCACUCUCAACCAGUGCAGCCCUUCCCGUAGCUGCGCAGCAUCGACAAAACGUUGCGUUGCCAGCCAAGCCCCCAUUGUUGGAAACAAGUGGUUGAGGGCACAAGUGGCAGAAUUUAGUGGGGAAGGAUUUGCAAAGCUCAUUCAUAAGUAUGGUAAGUGCCUAGAUUUGAAUGGUGACUACGUGAGAUGUGAUAUUUGGGUGUGGCUUUCAACUGCAUAUGGUAAAUGUGUUCUCCUAUACUUUGUUCAUUUUUAAUUCCAAAACGUAACCUACUUUGUGGAUAACCCUUGUAUACACAUAAUCCGUAUGUGUGUAUGUGGCAGAGGUGUCCAUUUACACAGACAGCCUCCCACUUCCACAAACAGCUUUAACCCACAGUUCUGGGAAGCCACCAAAGCCCUCCCUCCAAGGACAUUGCAGGUUACAGUGAGCCACAUCGCAGUGUUCCUUUCUCUCUCCAUUUGUAUGGAAUUUGCAUGACCCUGCCCACUGCCUCUACCUUAACUCUUUCCUAUUCUUUUCUAUGGCAUACAGUAAUUGAACAUAUUAGAGAAAGAGGAUUCCAACUGGGAAUACUGGUAGACUUUGGGUGAUUGACCUUUAACUCUGGGAGCCCUCUGAACCCUACCAAUGACAGAUAUGGACCAAACUUGGCACACAAACCCAACACUGCUAACUUUGCAUACUGAUGGACUUUGGGGUGAUUGACCUUGGCACCAGAGAGUUGUAGUUCACCCUUAACCAGAGAGCACACAACCCAACCGACGACGAACCUGGCCUAAACUUGGCACACAGAUCCAACAUGGCCAGCUAUGCAUAUAGGCCUGGUUUGGGGAGGAUUGAUCCACAAUUCUUGGAAUUGUAGUUCCACUCACAUCAUUAUGUAUUUUCUAAUGGGAGCAUUAAUAAAAAAUGAAAUCAAAGACUGGCUUUUUUCUAAUAAAUAGUGAUACUAAUUCACUAAAUGAUAUUACCCAACGCCCCAAAACAAACAAUGCCUUUUUAAAAUAACUUGGGCACCAUCAGGUACCCAAGCUAGUCAUCUAAUAAAAGUAACAAACUGCACAAUGACAGUUUGCAAAGGGAUCUUGUAGUACCUUUGUACUAUAAAAUCAAAGACCCAUAUUUUACAGUUCCUAUGUGUAACUAAGUACUAUCUCCUGAUGCAAUCCACCAGCCUCCAUCUAUAUCAAGAGUGGAGAUCUGUUCAGCUGCCAUUUGGGGCAUAGGACGAUGAUAUUUCUAUUGUCCUCUUGCAAGUACACGAGACUGCGACAAGGAAUUAUGAUGGAAUACUACUUCCAAUUGUCACCAUCUCCCUCACUGAUGGGAAGAGGGUUAGGAACAUCAUCCCCUAUGCCCUGAUUGGCAGCUCACCAGACCUCCAUCUCUCAGCAAAAUUGUAGCUUGGUAAAGUAGGUUUGAGAUGAAAUUUACAAUUAUGGCAAUACUGUAGUGCUAUUAUUGUGAUUGUGUAGUAUUAAUGAGUAGGGAGGAGAUACGGAUCCAUAACUCUAUGCUACAAAUCUGAGAAAGUAGACCUAGUUUACAAAAGCUUAUGUUACCAGCUUGGUUCUCUCCAUUAGUCUCUAAGGUGCUACAAGAUCCCUUGACAAUCUGCAAUACAGAAUGCCAACCAUCAUCAUUGCUUUAGGUUAAACUCAAUUGAUCACAACAUAGAAAUGCUUUUACAAAUGGGAUCUUUUUUUGAAAAAAAGGUUCAUCAAAAAUCUAAGUCUCCUACCUCCUAUCUCCACUAGGCUGCUCUUGUAAUAUGUUGCCAAUUCUACCUCGUGGCAAGAAAAUAAAUAGGUUUCCCCCCCCUGUGUUUUAAACAUUGGUGAUGAUUUUGUCCAGAGGGAAUAGGUAACUGUAAAUGUUUAAUGCUGCGAUUUUCCCAAGAUGCAUGUAUAUAGAGACAGAUAGAUAGACAGAUAGAUAUGGAAAGCUAGCAUUUUCAUAAGAUUUAAGUUCAUUUACACAGCAAGAAACUCUGAUCAAAGAGAAGUGUACAUACCUAUUUCUUACUAAGACAUCUCAACAGGUUUCCUUAGGUCAUCCAUAUAUAUAUAUAUAUCUUCCCCUCUGGCAGAUUCUAGACUACCUGGGGCUAUUUCAGUAUUAGCUGGGAGACAAGGGACUACAGCAUCCCAGGUGGCUUUCCUUUCACAUUACCUGAUCCAUAUUAAUUGGGAAGUGUGAUGUAGUAUAUCCAAGGUUCUUCACAAGAUUGCUCCUUAAGGCUACAAUAUGAAAUUUUAAAGAACAUGAUAAAUACUUGGGCAUCCUAGUAAGUGUUUUUGUCAGAUCUGUGGAGCUUUCAUCUCACAUCCAGUACAGGAAUAAUGAACAUUUUUAUAGUCUGCAUAGAGUCAAGUUACAUGCUAGAUGUAAGGUCUAAGUGAAAUUGGAGUUACAGGUGGUGUAUGCAUUUUGUACAAUAGACUACAAUAGUGUCCUUGUAUUUGCUAGUUACAGCUUAACUGUUCUUCUUUGUAUCUCAUCACAUUCAAAGAAACAAAUGGUAAAUCUGUAUGCAUCCCGUAGCUGAUAAUGACUGGAUGCAUAUGCUACACACAUGGGAUGCAUAGAAAUCCCAACACACCCAUUUCUUACAUUUUGAAACGAAUCCCCUUUUGACUCAACACAUGCUGAAAUUGUUUCUUCUCCCAAUUCAUUCAGAUUUCUCCUGAUGUCACUUUCUCACCUGUUUUUAAGCUAUUUUAAGCAUUAUACAGUUAUAUAGCCUCUAAUUCUGUACUUUUACUAAAAGAAUUUAAUUUAAAAAAAUGAAAUCUUUAAUUCAUAAACAUAUUUUCAAGAUUCAAAGCACCCCCAACAGAUGGCCAUCUAACCUCUGUUUAAAAGCCUCCAAAAAGGAGCCUCCACCACACUCCGGUGCAGAGAGUUCCACUGCUGAACAACUCUCAUAGUUAGAAAGUCCUUCCUAAAAUUCAGGUGGAAUCUCCUUUCCUGUAGUUUGAAGCUGUUGUUCUGCCUCCUAGUCUCCAGGACAGCAGAAAACAAGCUUGCUCCCUCCUCCCUAUGACUUUCCUUCACAUAUUUGUACAUGGCUAUCAUGUCUCCUCUCAGCCUUCUCUUCUGCAGGCUAAACAUGCCCAGCUCUUUCAGUCUCUCCUCAUAGAGCUUGUUCUCCAGACCCUUGAUCAUUUUAGUCACCCUCCUCUGGACACAUUCCAGCUUGUCAACAUCUCCCUUCAAUUGCGGUGCCCAGAAAUUGACACAGUAUUCCAGGUGUGGUCUGACCAAGGCAGAAUAGAGGGGUAGAAUGACUUCCCUGGAUCUAGACACUAUACUCCUAUUCAUGCAGGCCAAACACCCAUUCGCUUUUUUUUGCCGCCACAUGACAUUGUUGGCUCAUGUUUAACUUGUCAUUCACAAGUAUAUUUUUUCAUACAUAUUGCUGUUGAGCCAGGCAUCUCCCAUUCUGUAUCUUUGCAUUUCAUUUUUUCUGCCUAAGUGGAGCAUUUGUUCCUGUUGAACUUCAUUUUGUUAGUUUCGGCCCAUCUCUCUAAUCUGUUAAAAUUGUUUUGAAUUCUGCUCCUGUCUUUUGGAGUAUUAACUAUCCCUCCCAAUUUGGUGUUAUCUGCAAACUUGAUGAUCAUGCUUUCUAGCCCUUCAUCAAAGUCAUUAAUAAAGAUGUUGAACAGAACCGGGCCCAGGACGGAACCCUGGAGCACUCCACUUGUGACUUCUUUCCAGGAUGAAGAGCAAGCAUUGCUGAGCACCAUUUGGGUUUAUUCACUUAACCAAUUACAGUUCCACCUAACCGUAGUUUUGCCUAGCCCACAUUUGACUAGUUUGUUUGCCAGAAGGUCAUGGGGAAACUUGUUGAAGGCCUUAUUGAAAUCCAGAUACGAUACAUCCAUGGUGUUCCCUGCAUCUACCCAGCUUGUACCUCUAUGGAAAAAAGAAAUCAGAUUUGUCUGGCAUGACUUGUUUUUGAUAAAUCCGUGUUGACUAUUAGUAAUGACCACAUUCCUUUCUAAGUGUUUGACACCACUUCUUUAAUAAUUUUUUUCCAGAAUUUUGCCUCUGUUGACAUGAGGUUGACUGGACAGUCAGCAGACUCUGCCCCUAAGCUGCGUCUCAGAAUCAAUUUAAGGUGAUCCCUUGUUGUCCAAGUAUGAUGGCCUUCCAAGUGUAGUGUCUUGCUGGUGGAUAGGAGCAACUUGAGAAACUGCAUAUCGCUUCUGGUGUGAGAGAACUGGCCGUCUGCAAAGACGUUGUCCAGGCGAUGCCCGGAUGUUUGAUGUUUUACCAUCCUGUGGGAGGCUUCUCUCAUGUCUCCGCAUGGGGAGCUGGAGCUGAUAGAGGGAGCUCACCCGCUCUCCCCAGAUUCGAACCGCUGACCUGUCGUCAGGAGUCCUCCCGGCACAAGGGUUUAACCCAUUGCACCACCAAAGGCUCCACAUAUCAAACUAUUCACCUAUAUGAACUUCCUCAAUUUUCAGCUUUUUAAAGGUCUUGCUGCUCUGUAAGCUUUAUGCAUCUAUCCCUGUAUGGUCUGAAUUAUCCUGAUAUUCCUAGACAUAUUUAAAAUGUAGAAUAUUAUGCAAAAUGCAAUGAAAGCAUGAAUGUAACUUUGGUUUUUUAAACAGUGUUUCGUCUUUCUGUUACUACUUUCAAACUCUGAAGUUUUGCUCUGAGAAAUUAUGUGAUAUGCUGCAAUUGCUUGCAAAGCAGAGAUGUGCUAAUAAAGACCAGUAGAUGUCAGUAUUGAUCUUCACUAUGUUAUACCUUACAUUUUUGAAAGAAAUGUCUUGUAUGGUGAAAGAAAUACGUUUAUUUCUUGACUAGGAAUAUCACUGUCAUGUUAUGAAACAUAAUGCAAAUGCAGAAUAGCAUAUGCAAUUAUAUGUAAUGUAAUAAUCAGAAAGUUGAAAAAGAACACUCUUUGUGUUUUAAUGCCUCAGUGUAAUUAAUAUGGCUUCUUGAAACUGUGUCUUCAGUUUUCUUUCUUGGAAUUAUAUAGCCCAUAAUGAUAUCUAAGACUCAUAAUAAAAUUUGCAAAUCAUGGACAAUUCUGCAUACAGCAGAAAAACUACAGACCAAAUAAUAAUAAUCACACUUUAUCUCACAUUCUCUCUUAAUUAAAAAUUGGAAGUACAUUUGCCCCCUUUUGAGGAUGUAUCAAUUUGUGACAGUUUUUGGCAGCCGUGGGAAAACGAUAAGAGCAUUAUUAUACCUGUUAUUCUGUAUAUCUAUACUGUUCUAUUGGGAGUCACUGAUAGAAACAGAUCACAAGAAUUCAGUUAAGCAGUAGAAAAUUGCAAUAAUUUUUUUUAUUAUAGCCCACAGAGCUAGCAAGUUCUAAUUCAUAACAUAAUACAUAUAUAAGAAAAACUAAGACCAGAAAAAAUAGUGGAUAAAAUUAUACAGGCAGAAUUUAUUUCAAACAUUUCCCCCUAAUACAGAAAUUCACUCUUCUUUAAUGCCAACUGCCCCUGAGUCCUUCCACACGGCCAUAUAACCCAGAAUAUCAAGGCAGAAAAUCCCACAGUAUCUGCUUUGAACUGGGUUUUCUGAGUUCACACUACCAUAUAUUCCAGUUCAAAGCAGAAAAUGUGGGAUUUUAUUUAGCUGUGUGGAAGGGGUCUCAGACCAAAACUUGGCAACAACCAAAGUUACACUGGGAUUCUUAUCUUCUAGUAAGAAUUUGGCAUAAAAGUGGGCUGGUUUUCUUGGUAGAUCUCAAUUAAUUGAGUAAUAUAUGUUGAACCUGCUUGUAGAAUCCAUAAGACAAAAUAAGGUGCUUCAUUGAUUCUUCUUCCAGGUUCAUAACCUGGAAUGACGUGGAAGUUCAUAACCUUUUGAUAUAUGAGAGACAACUUGGAGUAUUUCAGAGGGGAAAGUAUUCAAUCUGAAUUUAGUAAAAAUAUGACAAGGGUUAAAUUCUUUAAAUACCCAGCUAGAUGAAAAGGACUGACACAUUCUGUACCUUUGAAAGUGCAAUGACCCUGCAGUAAUUCUACUAAAAAUUUCAAGUACAGCUUGCAAGCGCUGUUUUCCCCACUUUUGUUAUUACAACAUUAGAGUGAAAACUUUCAAACAGGAUUAGAAAUUCUACUGCUUUAAUACUGAUUGGAAUAUCUUGAUAACAUUCAGUGUGGAAAAUAUUAUCAGCAAGCAGAAAUGUUGAAAAUAUACUAAUGUACAUAUAAAGAUAUCAUUGUAUUCCAGCUUCCAAGGAAUGUAAAAUAUUAACUUCUAUAUACAUCAGUUAGUGAUAAAAUAGUAGUAGUAGUAGUAGUAGUAGUAGUAAACUUUAUUUAUACUCUGCCACCAUCUUCCUGAAAGGACUCUGGGCGGCUCACAGAAGCACUACCAGUGCUAAACAUAAAAUAAACUAUAUAUAAACAUGGAGGCUAUCACAACAUACAUUUACAACUGCAAACAUGCAUAAAAUGACACAUAAUAAAAUUUUAAAAUAUAUUUAAAAACCAUUAGUAAGUUGUUUUUCAACUGUUCCAAAGUCUUUUGCUUGUGUUGUUAGGCCAUGGCCAAGCAAAGAGGACAGGUUGCAAGCAAUUACACUAUGUGAAAUGUGCUUAAUCCUCAUAUGGCACAGAAACCAACACAAAAUGCCAGUCCCAGGAUUCUAUAAGAUACGAUGAGAGCUGAUAAGAGCCCUAUGACACUAUAACUGUGUACUAUAAAUGGGUCCACAGUGGUAACAGAGACACCAAAUGCUGCAUUUCUUCAAUUCUAAGACACACCUUUUUCCUAUAUAAACAUCUCUAAAAAUGGGAGUCCAUCUUAGAAUCAUAAAUGUUAUCUUAAGUAUUUUUUUUGACAAUAGUGGUGCUGAAAUUAGGGUGUGCCUUACAAUUGAUGGCGUCUUAAAAUUGAAUAAAUACAGUAAUAGAGUAUUUUAAAAAUGAGCACCUGGUAUCCAAAACAGAUGCAAGUAUGCCUCAGUUAAGGCAGUAGAUAUGGUCCUCGGCAUUGCUUCUUUAACAAAACUUCUGGUGCUACAAGUAGAAAUAAUGUGGAAAGAACAGGAUUGGUUCCUGCAUCACCUAAAAAAGAUAGAGAGGGAGAGAGAAGAAAGAAAGGGAGGGAGUGGAGAAGGAGAAGAGUUCAACAUUUCAGCAAGACGUUUAUCUACAAUAGAUAAAAUAUACAAUGGAACUAACAUUUUCUAUGGUUUCUAUUUUAACAUACUGGAGAAGACUUGAUGGAGGCAAGCUUAUCUGCUUUCCUCGUUUGUCGCUAUUUUGAUGUUUAUGCAUCACAAGUAAGCAAUUCCCGAGCCAACUGCUAUUUAAAUUGCCUGUUAUAAGCAGGCAGACACAGCUUUGAUAGGUUUGGCUUGAACAGAUUCGAAGUGCAAAUAAAAAGCAACCAAGUAUUGUCGAAGGCUUUCAUGGCCGGGAUCACAGGGUUGUUGUAUGUUUUCCAGGCUGUAACAUGGCCAUACAGCCCGGAAAAUAAACAACAACCAAGUAUUUCACAUAUAUAUAUUUCAUUGGUUCUUCUUUCAUUUACAUUGAGUGGGCUAAAUCCAGCAUUAGUUACAACAGGAGUAGUCAGUUAACUCAAUAGGACUUUUGAAUCCACAUUCAUUUCAAUGGUGCUGCUGUAAUGGUGUUGAACAUUUGAAUUACCUCAAUAUUUAAAUGUUUCUAAUACCAUAAAAUCAUUAUGCAUCAAUCGGUUUAAAAUAAGGAUGUCAGGGAUUUAAAGGGGUCCAUUUGUGCUGUUGCCUCAUAAUCAUGUUGAAACAGAACAUUUUUAAACAACAUGCUGCUGAAUAUUUAAUGCAUAUAAAUUGUAAUUGAUGGGGUGGGGUGCCAGUCAACUUAGAUAUAAAUACUUUAUUGGAUAAUUACUUUUUAGAUUGAGUUGUUAAUUUUUUGAAAGUAUUCCGCAUAGAUAAUUUUUGUUACCUAUCACUGUACCUUUUAACAAUUCUAAUAGAUCCUUUCUGGAAAGGGAUACCCAGAACUAUUAACUCUGUAUUAAUAUUUCAUACUGAAAUAAUGCUGGAACAUUUUGGCUUCCUUGCCUCAUCAAACAGACUUUUAGGCCAUGUAUUCCCCAAAUGGGUUUUUUAAUAAAAUCAGUUUUUACCAAACAAA